UACGGGAGGCAGCAGUGGGGAAUAUUGCACAAUGGGGGAAACCCUGAUGCAGCGACGCCGCGUGGAGGAAGAAGGUCUUCGGAUUGUAAACUCCUGUUGUUGAGGAAGAUAAUGACGGUACUCAACAAGGAAGUGACGGCUAACUACGUGCCAGCAGCCGCGGUAAAACGUAGGUCACAAGCGUUGUCCGGAAUUACUGGGUGUAAAGGGAGCGCAGGCGGGCGAUCAAGUUGGAAGUGAAAUCCAUGGGCUCAACCCAUGAACUGCUUUCAAAACUGAUUGUCUUGAGUAGUGCAGAGGUAGGCGGAAUUCCCGGUGUAGCGGUGGAAUGCGUAGAUAUCGGGAGGAACACCAGUGGCGAAGGCGGCCUACUGGGCACCAACUGACGCUGAGGCUCGAAAGUGUGGGUAGCAAACAGGAUUAGAUACCCUGGUAGUCCACACCGUAAACGAUGAUCACCAGGUGUUGGAGGAUUGACCCCUUCAGUGCCGCAGUUAACACAAUAAGUAAUCCACCUGGGGAGUACGACCGCAAGGUUGCAACUCAAAGGAAUUGACGG
This 559-nucleotide ribosomal RNA is filed under the name uncultured bacterium. RNAcentral describes it as "bacterial SSU rRNA". It matches the Rfam family "Bacterial small subunit ribosomal RNA", at positions 340 to 916 of the family's 1533-position model. The record is from RNAcentral.